UCGAGAAUUUUCCGCAAUGCACGAAAGUGUGACGGAGCGACGCCGCGUGCAGGAUGAAGGCCUUCGGGUUGUAAACUGCUUUUAUCAGGGAAAAACCAGCGAUGGUACCUGUUGAAUAAGAGGUUGCUAACUCUGUGCCAGCAGCAGCGGUAAUACAGAGACCUCAAACGUUAUCCGGAUUUAUUGGGCGUAAAGCGCUAAAUGGCGGUUCAGUAAGUUGGGCAUAAAAGCCCGGGGCUCAACCUCGGAUCUAUGCUCAAAACUACUAGACUAGAGGGUGGGAGAGGCAAGCAGAAUGGCUAGUGUAGCAGUAAAAUGCGUUAAUAUUAGCCAGAAUACCAAUGGCGAAGGCAGCUUGCUGGAACACACCUGACGCUCAAUAGCGAAAGCGUGGGGAGCG
Molecule: ribosomal RNA, 400 nt
Filed under: uncultured bacterium
Lineage: Bacteria
Description: bacterial SSU rRNA
Rfam family: Bacterial small subunit ribosomal RNA
Source: RNAcentral